CCAAAAAGACAGGGAGGCAUGGAUUUCCGAGAUCUUAGGUUAUUUAAUCAAGCUCUCUUGGCCAAACAGGCGUGGCGGCUAUUGGUGUACCCAGAUUCUUUGUGUGCUAAGGUUUUGAAGGCAAAAUACUACCCCAAUGGCCACAUUUUGGAUAUUGUGUUCCCGCAAGCUACUUCGGUGAAUUGGCAAGGUAUUAUGCAUGGCCUGAAACUGUUAAAAAAAGGGGUCAUAUGGAGAGUGGUUGAUGGUAAAAAUGUAAAUAUUUGGAGAGAUAACUGGCUACCUAGAAACUCCAGCCUUAGAGUUACAUCAAAGAAAAAUCGCACUAGACUGAAAUGGAUAUCUGAAUUAUUCAUGAGCGAAACAACAAGAUGGGAUGAAAUAUUAAUCAGGUACUUGUUCUAUCACCAUGAUGCGGAGGAGAUUCUAAAUGUACGUAUUCAGUCUGGAGGAGAGGGAGAUCAAGUUGCUUGGCAUUAUGAGAAAAAUAGUAUGUUUUCUGUUAAUAGUGCGUACAGACUGGCCUUAAAUCUUAAGGACGAUAAGGGCAAAACUAGAACGUCCAACACUAUUGAUAAUGAGAGGAGGAUGUGGGACGUUAUUUGGAAGGCCAAAGUCCCACAAAAAAUUAGAAUUUUUGUCUGGCGAGCCGCGUCCAAUAGUUUGGCGACCCAGGUAAACAGAGUUGCUCAUCACCAAAUAGUGUUAGAUAUGUGUACUAUUUGUGGUGUGGAGGAAGAAAGUAUUUUUUAUGCCCUGCUGACUUGUCCUAAGGCGUGUGCAUUUCGUUUUGCCAUGAGAGAUGUGUGGAAUAUUCCUGGAGAGGAGUUCUUCAGAUGUACAGGGCCGGACUGGUUUCUUAUUCUGCUUGACCAAUUGGGGUCACCGGUUCGCGAGCAAGUUUUAUUCAUAUUUUGGUGA
This 921-nucleotide ribosomal RNA is filed under the name Triticum aestivum (bread wheat). Its description in RNAcentral is "partial small subunit ribosomal RNA". Lineage: Eukaryota; Viridiplantae; Streptophyta; Magnoliopsida; Poales; Poaceae. The record is from RNAcentral.